RNAcentral lists this long non-coding RNA (1436 nucleotides) under Marmota monax (woodchuck). The record is from RNAcentral. Lineage: Eukaryota; Metazoa; Chordata; Mammalia; Rodentia; Sciuridae.
AGUGAACCCAGGGUCUUGUGCCUGCGAGGCAGCCCUCUACCAACUGAGCUAUGUGCCCAGCCUAGAAGUUUAGCUCUUGAUGGUGUAAAGUCCCUAAUGUGUGUUGCUGCUCAGUGGGCAGCUUUCUUCCAUGAGGUUUCCGGGACACCGGCUCUUCCCGUCUGUGGUGCUCAUGUGUAUCCAGCCAUGGAGGAGAAGGGAGGACAGCCAGUCACCCGCACUCGGACCAUCCUAGCCCGGAAGUGGUGCACGCUGGUCAGGUUCCCGUCCACUGGUAAGAGCUGUCCCAAGGACUCACCUCGAGGGCAGACUGCGAGGAGGUGGUUCCUGGCUGGGCCGAUGCCUCCCAGCCACAGCUGCAGACUCUGGAGCAAGUGUGCGGGUGGACAGAGCCUCUCCAGGGCUUGCUUGUGGCGCACACCUGUAAUCCCAGCUGCUUGGGAGGCUGAGGCAGGAGGAUCGCGAGUUCAAAGCCAGCUUCAGCAACUUAGUGAGACCCUGCUAUAUAAAAUAUAAAAGAAAGGGCUGGGGAUGUGGUUCGGGGUUAAGCACUCCUGGGUUCAAUCCCCUGUACAAAUAAUAAUAAUAAUUCCGAAGUUCUGUGUACUUUUCUAGGUCUGUUGCUCCUAAGCCUGCUUCUCUUCCAGGCCUGAUACUCCCAAACUCCUGGGAAAUCUGUAAAUUUACCUGUACACUGUCAAUGACCCCCAGUAAAUAGAUUAAGCAAAGGGAGAUGACAAUCUUGAGGACUCUGUAGUAUAGGGGCCUUCCCAGCACUGUGUACUGAUCGGGCGAUGGUCGAGAGCCACCCGGGGACUGGGUGUGGAUGAUAUUGCGCGUCGCAGCCUAGUGAACAGGUUUAUCUGGAGUCAGGAAACCUGCAGUGGACAUUUCCUCUGGUUGACCGCCCACACACAUAGUGAGCCCUAUGCGGCUCUGCUGGUCCUGCACAGCACCGGAGAUGGGGUGACCUGCUACAACCACCCAGACGCCCAGCCCCUCUGAGAUGGGUGUGACCUGCCCAGAUGCCAAUCAACCUGCUGACUGCAAGAUGUCAGGACGCAAGACUCUGCCCGAGAAGCCUUCCCCCUGCCUUUGAUGUGCCCCCUUGAGUGAACCCUGGGAGCCAUUUUUCUAGUUGUCCAUCUCCAGCUCCUGUGUGGACUGGACCCAUCAGGGCUCCAUCUUUAAAACUCUUUCUGACUCACGGUCUUUUGCUCUUCACUGAUCAUUCUAGACUUUCAUUUCUCAGGAGGCUUAUCCCCCUGAGCAGGCGAGAAUCCCCUGGCGAGGUGCUGGCUACCCCAUGAUAGGUAAUGGAGGCUCCCAAGACUGACCAGACCACCGGGACUCAUCUCGGGGUCCUGCCACCUUCCCAUGCCCACCUUUCUCCAGGUUUCCUUUAAAAGAAGAGCCAGGAACCCCCAAACCAGCUC